This 1385-nucleotide long non-coding RNA is filed under the name Zonotrichia albicollis (white-throated sparrow). RNAcentral's name for it is "lncRNA (ENSZALG00000014526.1)". The record is from RNAcentral. Lineage: Eukaryota; Metazoa; Chordata; Aves; Passeriformes; Passerellidae.
GGGGGAGAUUUCAGAGGCUGUGACUCCUCUGAAGGAGCUGGCCUGAAGGUGACCAUGGAGGUGACCACAAUAAGGAGCCAGUUCUGUUUAUUGAUGGUCAGGGUGAUGUUGAUGUGCUGAGCCCUAUGGGGGUAGUGGCCUCUCUGGAGAGAGGGGACACUAGCUAAGGAGAAUUAUGAAGGAGGGACUUGAAAUACCAACUGUCUCUGCUUUUAGUUAUUUUUUUAAUGUCUUUAGACUCUCUUUUAGGGGGAUUAUGCAGAUUUCCAAGCCCAAAUUUUGCCUUUUGGGAAAAAAAGUGUCCUAAUUUUUGUUUCUUUGGAUGCUAACAUGCCAAGCUGUGGUCCUUGAGGAAGAUGUGACCCCCUGUCACAGCAGCUUCUUUAGCUCUCCUUCUUCCUUUCCCCAAAAUCAUGUGUUUGAGCACUGCAGAACAUGUCAUCAGCACUAGAGCAGCCAGUUGCUUUAUUCCAGUUGAUGCCAUCAUUUCAUAAAUUAGAUCAAAAGACAACACUGGGUCAUUCUGUCCUGACUGAAGUGAUUAAGUAGAUCUGUGCUAUUAACUGCAGUUAUCUUCUGAAAUGUCAGACUUCCUGCCAAGAUCUUGCAUAGUUUUAAAUAAGCCUCUGCUGGCUGAGGAUUCAAACUCCAGAUUGGAGGCAAUAAUUUGUAACUCCAAAGUGAAAAUCUGUGGAUCAAACUGCCCCCUUGGACACCAGAUCCUUCAUCUUGCUGCCCCUUGGUGCUGUAGUUCUGCACAGAAAACUCCUGUGCCUAGCAGUUCAGUAUCAUCUUUAUGGUUUCUUUCCAGCUGCAAUAUCACACAGCUGACAGUUGUUUAUUGAGAGGCAGCAGUGGGGAGAGAGAAGUUCUCAGGAAAUUAAAUAUUCUUUUAAAAUGGCAAAUCUUUUUCUGCAUAUUCACUCGGCUAUUUCAGUGGCUCCCCUAAACAUCUGGCAAGUAUUUUGGCUGUGUCUGAGAGAUUUUGGAGAAGGAAGGAACCUUGGCACUGGCUUUAAAUGCAGUGAGACACAACGGAGAGGAGAAGAAAUCGCUGCUCUAAGGAGGGAGAGCAUUUGCCGCAUUGCAAAAUGGCCUACGGAGCUUUUCCUGCAGGCUGAGGUGCCACUUCUUUAUGCUAUUUUUGUUCCUUCCAAGAAUGUGAUGAAUGAUUUGGAGAUCAGAAGAAAUGAAGAACAGAAGAAAUCAAGAACUGGCACAGUGCUGCCUUCAUUUUCACCUCCUGAGCUAUGUAUGACAUGGGAGUGAAGCAUGGCUACAGAAACAUUUCUGGCCUAAAUUGAGAACACUUACAGAAUCCUGGAUUUCAGUUAAUUGUGCAAAUCCUGUGGGUAUGUCAGAUUCCAAGCAAUGAACUAUCUGUG